AUUUUCUUAGUAUAAAAAGUACAGGUGACUUCCAAUUACCCAGCCCCGGUUCAACCCCGAGAGAAAAUA
RNAcentral lists this transfer RNA (69 nucleotides) under Tepuihyla edelcae (white-lipped bog-frog). Its description in RNAcentral is "tRNA-Gly". It matches the Rfam family "tRNA". Rfam says of the family: Transfer RNA (tRNA) molecules are approximately 80 nucleotides in length. Lineage: Eukaryota; Metazoa; Chordata; Amphibia; Anura; Hylidae. The record is from RNAcentral.